AUUGAACGCUGGCGGCAGGCUUAACACAUGCAAGUCGAGCGGUAACAGAGAGAAGCUUGCUUCUCUGCUGACGAGCGGCGGACGGGUGAGUAAUGCCUAGGAAUCUGCCUAGUAGUGGGGGAUAACUUGCCGAAAGGUAAGCUAAUACCGCAUACGUCCUACGGGAGAAAGGAGGGGACCUUCGGGCCUUUCGCUAUUAGAUGAGCCUAGGUCGGAUUAGUUAGUUGGUGAGGUAAUGGCUCACCAAGACCGCGAUCCGUAACUGGUCUGAGAGGAUGAACAGUCACACUGGAACUGAGACCCGGUCCAGACUCCUGCGGGGGGCAGCAGUGGGGAAUAUUGGACAAUGGGGGGAACCCUGAUCCAGCCAUGCCGCGUGUGUGAAGAAGGUCUUAGGAUUGUAAAGCACUUUAAGUUGGGAGGAAGAGCAGUUAACUAAUAUUUGACUGUUUUGACGUUACCGACAGAAUAAGCACCGGCUAACUUCGUGCCAGCCGCCGCAGUAA
RNAcentral lists this ribosomal RNA (506 nucleotides) under uncultured bacterium. Its description in RNAcentral is "partial 16S ribosomal RNA". It matches the Rfam family "Bacterial small subunit ribosomal RNA", at positions 30 to 523 of the family's 1533-position model. The record is from RNAcentral.